AAUUAAUACCAACCCACUUUUUGUAUUGUUCAAGUUGAGAAUCAAGUCUGCAAAUUGCAAGCAACACAAAGUCAAGCCACAUCUGAAGCAAAGUGCUGCUUUAAUUUGAAAACUUGUUUUUUUUUUCCCCCUCCAGUUAAAAAGACGCCAAGAAAUCGAGCAGAAAUUGGAAGUGCAGGCAGAACAGGAGCGUAAAAAAGUUGAGAGUGAAAGGAGAGAGCUCUUUGAAGAAAGACGUGCCAAACAAACAGAGAUGCGUCUUCUGGAGCACAAAGUGGAGCUCGCUCAACUGCAAGAAGAGUGGAAUGCACAUAAUUCUAAGCUCAUCAAGUUCAUUCGAACAAAGACCAACCCCCCGAUCUUCUACCUGCCCGGGCGAAUGUGCUCUGCUACUCAAAAGCUCCUGGAGGAGUCUCAGAAAAAAUUAAAUGGUGUGUUUGAUGAGAGACGUGAAGCCUUUGCAGAGCAACUCAACAAAAUGGAGGCUCGGCCAAGGCGUCAGUCCCAAAGGACAGGUGACAAAGAAAAGGAGGAUAACCGUCGGUCUGAAGAGACGAAGAAAGAAGAUCAAGAGGAGGGUAAGGCUGGAGUAGGGCGGACAGGUAACAGACAUGAUGUGGAGAUGGAGGACGAGGAGGAAGAUCUAGUCGAGGAGGAAGGAGAGGAGAGCUUUGAGAUUAGGGAGAGGGAGGGGGAUCAGGAGCAGGGUGAGGAGAAGGACAAACACGAGGAGAGUGAGAGGAAGGCAGAUGAGGAAGAUGAGGAGGAGGAGGAUAUGGGAGCAAGUGAGGUUAAGGAAGAGGGGGAAGAGCAGAUGGAGGGCACAGAAGUUGAGAGGGAAGAUGAGGCACAGGGUAAGUUGCUGGUUGAGAGUCCAGAAGCCACAGUUGAAGAGGUAGGUAAUGUGCAAAAGGAGCAAGAGCAGGAGACCGAGAACGAGACUCUGCAGGAUGUUGUAACAGACUCUCAGCAAACCCCUGAAAGCCACAUGGAAAUACAGCCUGAGGAAUGUAAACCGCCUCAACUGGACGUCCCGAUCUCUAGUGUAACGGAACAUGACACCAAACAAGAUGAUACGGCGUCUGAUACCCAACAGCUACAGCUUGAAACUGACCCAGAAGUCCUUUCUCAAGCGCAAAACCAAGAACCAUCAGUCCAACCACAAGAAGCCAAAGCGGACACAAAGGAAGCUAGCAAGGAGGCAGAUGACUCACGCGGACGGGCCAAAAUCCAUGCCAAGAGGAGCAAGAGCCAAAGUAGCAGCAGCUCCUCUUCCAGUUCCUCUUCAAGCUCCUCCUCCAGUGGAUCCAGCUCCUCUUCCAGUGGCUCCAGUAGUAAGAGCAGUUCAUCUGGCUCCUCAUCAUCUUCCAGUUCACGCUCCCGUAGUCAUGGCAGGGAUAGAGACGGCCGAGACCACAAGCGCCGCAGGAGACCAUCGGACAGGGAGCACAGAAAGAGUGGCAGUGAGAGGGGACACAAGUCCUCAAAAGGCAGUGGACGAGAAAACAAGAGCUCCAAAGACAAGAACUCCAAACCUGACAGGAAGAGGACGAGUUCAGAAGGAAGCCGGUCAGGAAAGAGGUCCUCCAGAAGCGAGAGAGAUCGGAAGUCUGAUCGAAAGGAUCGACGUUGAGAAGUUGCUGCCAGUCUUGCAUAGUUUCUUCAAGGCCAUUGUGUGGUUACUUAGAUUUUUGAGGUGCAGUUGCCUUGCUAUUGUUCUUGAGUGGGUUUUACAUUUCCAUUCUCCAUCUCCCAAUCUUUUUUUCUUUUAGUUUCGUCUGGCAACUGGUUAUUUCAGUAUCUUGGAAUUUUUAAGAUUUAUAAACUGCUUUUAAGAACCAUCACUCUAAACAAAUUGGUUUCACACUACAUCAGACCUUCCACGUUAUCUGAUGGAAAUAACGCUUGAAAUGUGCUUCUCGUGCUGAUCCUUCAUCUGUUCCACCACAGUGUUGCCGGUUCCUGUCAUACAGUAGCUAAACCACUGAUGUUUUCAGUUAUGCGAUGCCAUACUAAUGUGAUUUUUACAUUCAGUAAAUAUAAAGCAACCAUUUUGACAGUAUCUUACAGUGAUGCAGUUCUUUUUCUUGUUGGCGCAAAAUUGGCUUUUUUUUUUUUUUUUUUUGGUAAUCACUCAUUAACAUAGAAAAAAGACAUUAAAGACAAUUUCUCUUCAUGUAUCUGAUUUUGUUUUUUUUAAUAUAUUUGCAUGUUUGUGAUCUUGUCACUUGAAAUUGUGUAUGCAGACAACACAAUGUUUUCAGUAUGACAAAACUGAAACAUUUAUGCAGACUUUUUAGUGUUAAAUUGUAUAAUUGAACAUGAGAAUUUCAACAAAUUUAGCUUCAUAAACCUAACACGGUAAAUCCUAUUUUAAAACUGCA
Molecule: long non-coding RNA, 2384 nt
Organism: Sinocyclocheilus grahami
Lineage: Eukaryota; Metazoa; Chordata; Actinopteri; Cypriniformes; Cyprinidae
Source: Ensembl